Molecule: long non-coding RNA, 425 nt
Organism: Asparagus officinalis (garden asparagus)
Lineage: Eukaryota; Viridiplantae; Streptophyta; Magnoliopsida; Asparagales; Asparagaceae
Exons: 2
Source: RefSeq, a predicted model, not a curated record
CCACGACCUCGACCUCGCCUGAGUCGGAGCUCGCCUAAAGGUCACCUCCUGCAGCUCGACCUCACCCGAAGUAGUCGUCGAGGUAGAUGAUAGCUUGAGAGUUGAGGACGUGGAAGUCUACUAUGAUGCAGGACAGUUAUUUGGUGGCCUUCUCAAGGGCCCCCUGCUCCCCUCUAGCUAGCGCCGCCAUCAAGAAGGCUGUAGCCGAAACUUUAUCGCUGGAGGCAUGUCCCUUCUUCAGGGAGAAGUGAUAUAUGCUUCCUGAAUUUGAAUUUGCUUGGAGAACGAAUCUAGUAGUUUUCUCGUUAAUAAAUGAAUGGAUGUUUGAUGCAAGUUUCCGAUACUUAUUACUUCCAAUGAAUGUAUGAAUCAAGUUUUUAUGAAAAAACUGGACAUAUGAAUAAAUAAGGGCUAAAUUUCACAAA